Molecule: non-coding RNA, 123 nt
Organism: Sturnus vulgaris (Common starling)
Lineage: Eukaryota; Metazoa; Chordata; Aves; Passeriformes; Sturnidae
Source: RefSeq, a predicted model, not a curated record
UCUCACCUCCCUGCUCAGGCAGGGCCAUCCCAGAGCACAGGGCACGGGAUUGUGUCCAGGGGGUUCUGGAACAUCUCUAGUGAGGGACACUCCACACCAGAGUUGGGAUGCUGUGGCAGGGGG